GAAAGUAUCAACGUGCAUUUCUUAGACCGAAAGGUCUGAGUAAAAUGCUGAACUACUUUCAUGCUCUGGACCGUAAACUGAAACUGUUCACAUGAAC
Molecule: ribosomal RNA, 97 nt
Filed under: Glossina brevipalpis
Lineage: Eukaryota; Metazoa; Arthropoda; Insecta; Diptera; Glossinidae
Description: eukaryotic small subunit ribosomal RNA
Source: RNAcentral